Papaver somniferum (opium poppy) is the source of this 705-nucleotide long non-coding RNA. RefSeq lists it as uncharacterized. The record is from RefSeq and is a predicted model, not a curated record. Lineage: Eukaryota; Viridiplantae; Streptophyta; Magnoliopsida; Ranunculales; Papaveraceae. The transcript has 5 exons.
UGCUUUUGUUUCUUAUCCAGAGAAACUGUGAUAAGAUCUAUGAUACAACGAAGUUUGAUGGAUGCAUUCACAUACUCGUUAUUUCUGCAUUACCCUAUACAUCGAUGGGGGUUGAAUGCAAAUGAGUUUCUAUCAAAGAAGAGAAAGUUGAUCUGUCGGCUCUACCAGGUUUUGUCUUACUUACAUCCGUCACUCUAAAGAAGAUGGAUAAAGGUGAAGUUUUGAUGAGUAAUACGGUAUCUGCGGGUGCAAAUGAGUGUUUGAGGCUUAAGAUAUCUCUUAGGUAUAGAUCAUGAGUACACUACAGUAAAUUAGGUGAUAGCUCGGAUGAGGAAUCUACAGAUCGACAACCUCAUCAGCAUCUUCCUCCGAGGCCGUGCCUUCCUAAAGGUGUUGUUCGUGGGUGUUUUAAGUGUACUAAUUGCGAAAAGGUCACGACAAAGUGGCGUCCAGAAGCUGCACAAAGGUUUGCACCCAUAGGUCAUGGAAACGUCCAUAUGGUGUUGGUAUGCUUGUUAUAGGGUUGGAUGAAUCAGGAGCACACCUCUACUACAAUUUCCCAAGUGGGAACUACUUCGAAUACCAGGCCUUUGCUAUUGGGGCUCGCUCACAAUCUGCUAAAACUUGUUUGGAACGUAAAUUUGAAUCCUUCGCCAACUCUACCUGUGAUGAUCUGAUCAAAGAUGCACUCUUUGUAAUCAAAGA